UACACUCCUACGGGAGGCAACAGUGGGGAAUUUUGGACAAUGGGCGAAAGCCUGAUCCAGCAAUGCCGCGUGUGUGAAGAAGGCCUUCGGGUUGUAAAGCACUUUUGUCCGGAAAGAAAUCCUUGGCUCUAAUACAGUCGGGGGAUGACGGUACCGGAAGAAUAAGCACCGGCUAACUACGUGCCAGCAGCCGCGGUAAUACGUAGGGUGCGAGCGUUAAUCGGAAUUACUGGGCGUAAAGCGUGCGCAGGCGGUUUGCUAAGACCGAUGUGAAAUCCCCGGGCUCAACCUGGGAACUGCAUUGGUGACUGGCAGGCUAGAGUAUGGCAGAGGGGGGUAGAAUUCCACGUGUAGCAGUGAAAUGCGUAGAGAUGUGGAGGAAUACCGAUGGCGAAGGCAGCCCCCUGGGCCAAUACUGACGCUCAUGCACGAAAGCGUGGGGAGCAAACAGGAUUAGAAACCCGAGUAGUCCCAUGA
Molecule: ribosomal RNA, 477 nt
Filed under: uncultured organism
Description: partial 16S ribosomal RNA
Rfam family: Bacterial small subunit ribosomal RNA
Source: RNAcentral